This 460-nucleotide ribosomal RNA is filed under the name uncultured bacterium. RNAcentral's name for it is "partial 16S ribosomal RNA". It matches the Rfam family "Bacterial small subunit ribosomal RNA", at positions 338 to 795 of the family's 1533-position model. The record is from RNAcentral.
CCUACGGGGGGCAGCAGUGAGGAAUAUUGGUCAAUGGACGAGAGUCUGAACCAGCCAAGUAGCGUGAAGGAUGACUGCCCUAUGGGUUGUAAACUUCUUUUAUAUGGGAAUAAAAUGUUCCACGUGUGGGAUUUUGUAUGUACCAUAUGAAUAAGGAUCGGCUAACUCCGUGCCAGCAGCCGCGGUAAUACGGAGGAUCCGAGCGUUAUCCGGAUUUAUUGGGUUUAAAGGGAGCGUAGGUGGAUUGUUAAGUCAGUUGUGAAAGUUUGCGGCUCAACCGUAAAAUUGCAGUUGAAACUGGCAGUCUUGAGUACAGUAGAGGUGGGCGGAAUUCGUGGUGUAGCGGUGAAAUGCUUAGAUAUCACGAAGAACUCCGAUUGCGAAGGCAGUUCACUGGACUGCAACUGACACUGAGGCUCGAAAGUGUGGGUAUCAAACAGGAGUAGAUACCCUUGUAGUC